Molecule: long non-coding RNA, 1551 nt
Filed under: Lynx pardinus (Iberian lynx)
Lineage: Eukaryota; Metazoa; Chordata; Mammalia; Carnivora; Felidae
Source: RNAcentral
ACUGAGAAGACAAAGGCAGCCAGAACUAUCUUAUUUAUUAUAAAGAUACACCAUGAAGAACAGACCUGACUGUAUAUUGAAGCCUGGAAUGGUACAUGCCAAAAUGUACAGUACUAUACAUAAAAGUGCAUUGUCACAACAGAUUAACAAAACAUUUCUUUUCUUCCAGAACUGUAAAAGCAUCCCCCCAAAUUUCCGCCUCAGAGCCGAGGAACUGUAACGGAGGCAGCACAGAUCACAGGUGACACGUGGGCUGCAGCAGCUAGAGAGACAGCGGGAGGGAGGACACAGGGACACUGCGGACGGGAAAGGCACAGUCACGGCUACCAGCAAAACGAGACAGUCUGAUGACGGACAAGGAUGCAAGACGGACGAUACUGAGCACCGAGGCACAGGACGGGACACAGAGAAGCAGGGAGAGCGUGGAGGAAGUUUCCGCUCAGAUAGGUAGUAGGAAUUGGGGCAGAGGGGCUGGGAGCAGGAGCGGAAGGGUGGACGGGGCGCUCGACGGGGAGGCAGGAAUUGGGGCAGGGGGGCCAGACGCAAGAGUGGAGGGGUGGAUGGGGUGACAGUAAAGAGCAAGGCUAAAACUCCUCUAAAAUAGAAAGGCACUUUCACAUGUACAUACUACAGAUGUACAUUGACACGAUUAGUAACAGUCACAAGCAGGAAGCUACCAGUACUGCAAUUGAUCAAACCGACAGGAAAGGACAAUACUGAUUUAAUUACGUGGGCAGGAGUUACCCUUAAUUCCGUAGGUAAAUUUUAGCAGUCUCUCCUGUUACACAGCCACUUACUAUACUUUAAACAUCUAUAAUAACCAUCACACUACACACUGAACUUGGAUGAAUGCUCUAAAGGGGGCAUUCACAAAUGCACGGUUUAUAUAUUUUCUUUUACUAAACAGUUUCUAAGAUAAGCAUUAUGGAACCCGGUACAAUUAUUUAAACAUACAAAACUCCCUAUGUAAUUUAAAGAUACAGGUACCCAUCUCGAUUAUACCACAUAGACUAUUUUUUUUAAAGAAAGUAUACUAGGGUAAGUGAAAUCUCAAUUUCCAGUUUGUUUUACUGAUCUGAAUAAAGGGGUGCCAAAGUCACCCUGCACCAAGCCUGACACCUCAGCCCAGCUGGAGGUUUGGUUUUCAGCUCAGGGGACUGUCUGGAGUAGGGAGCUCUAUUGUACACACGGAUGAGCCUUUGCAUCUAAAUUGCUCCGGGACUGUGGCCUCAGCGAUGGGCAACUCAGAGCAAGGCUCAUCCGAGUGCUUUUCCCGCUUUUACGGUGUCUCACUACUGUGGUCAGGACGAGAAUGAAUGCGAUCCCAAAUCUGAAGUCUUCUAAAUCCUCAAUAGACCUAUGGGCUCUUUACUUUUUUUUUUUUUUAAGUUUUUAAAUUCCAGUUGCUUAACAUACAGUGUGGGCUUUUUGAAUUUUAGAGGCUGUACUUUCACAUUAAAGUUUCUUCAUUUUGUAGACCUCGUGUCAUUCCCAAAUGCUGGGGAGACCACAAUCCUUCCCACUCUUAUCUUUUCCUUAAAUUAUAAGCCC